This is a long non-coding RNA of Cuculus canorus (common cuckoo), 26786 nucleotides long. RefSeq lists it as uncharacterized. The transcript has 3 exons. Lineage: Eukaryota; Metazoa; Chordata; Aves; Cuculiformes; Cuculidae. The record is from RefSeq and is a predicted model, not a curated record.
GGUGCAUUUAGUUCUGGAGGGGAGGCCGGGGAAGCGGACUUAGAUGUCGAAAAAGGAGGAGGGUGGGAGUUAAGCGUUGGUAAAAAGGAGUGGAAAGAACUCAUGGGAGGGGGCGAGAGACCGAGGAACGGCCGAGGGGGCGCGGCGGGUUGUGGAGGGUCUCGAAGGACAUCGCGUGGUGGCCGCUUGCUCCUCGGUGCCUGCCGGUUCUUGUGCUUUCUAGACACUGCUAGGUCUUGUGUGAAGUAUGAUCUGUGCUGAACAGAUGUCUCUUUCUGUAAUCACCCCUGUUUGUGGACUUUCCCCGUGUCAAAUGCAAGGUAAGGCAGAGAGCUGUCUCUAAAGCUCCAAGUUAGCAAGAGAUUUGACUGUUGUGAAGUUCAUAAUAAAUUAGACUUUGGAAAAUAAUAGAAUAAGACUUAUGGAAAUAAUUAUACGUGUGCAUGUAAGUAGGGAGUAUAUUCUGUCCCCAGCUCUUGUCUCACUAUAUGUGAUUGACAGAGAUCACUCCCUUAUGUUGCCCAGACCUGGUAAAACUCCCAAAUGAGUCUUAGAGAGCUUCUUUGUCAGUAUUUUUAGUAUCAGAGGGACACUACCCUGCCAGGUGGCUGUGUUGGCCCUGGGGGUUGUGCUUCUCGCACCCUCCAAGUCGAGGGGCCUAUUCGGGGCUGGGGCUCCCCCAGGCUUUGGCCCUUGUCUGCGGGGAAGCCCAGACUGUCGUUUAGAAAGCAGGCUGUAUGCUUAGCCUGGCCUUAGUAGGAUGGGGGGGCUCAGCAAGGAGAAAGCUGGCAUGUGCCUUUGUCAUAGCCUGGGUGGCAGCCUCCCUUGCUGAUUUGGUGCUUUUCUAAGGAUUGUGGCUUUUGUGCAAUGUUUGGAAACUGCACUGAUAAUGUUUGGCUGUCACAGGGCUUAGUGGGACCAGCAGGAGAAGCUUUGCACUCUCCUCAAGGCAGCUGUUGUCAGUGGGUACAUAGGGACAUAAAUCAACCUUGAAAAAGAUGAGAGAAUGGAUGAAGUGGUAUCAAGCCUCUCAGCGUGGUAUGGGAGCAGCCAGGUUAACUUGUUGCUCUGUUUUUCGUUUGUGAUCGCUGCCAGGUGUUGGCAUGACUUAGCCAGCUGACUUCGUGCUGCCUGAGGUUCAGCAUUCCCUCUGGCUGGCUUCUAGGAGGUAGGCUAGAUUUUGAGCAGUGGGUUGUAGACUUUCCUGUACUGAACAUAAUCCCUGCUUGUGUCGGGGAAUGGGAAACAAUCCACUUAUCAUAUGGGAAAUUAUCCUUUCACUAAAUGGGAGAAUUAAAGCUCUGUUAGGGUUAAUGUGACCAGAGUUCUCUGAAAUAAUGUGUGGAAGAUCUGUGCUCAAAACUGUGAGGGAAGAAGCGCAAAUUAUUGCAUGGUUUGUGAAAUAACACUGUUUCUGUUUACAGCUGAUUCCUGUGAAAUAAAGUGCUUUAUUACUUGAAGAUGAUAUUCCACUGGCCAGAGUUGUGGAGAGUUUUGCAGGCUCGCUGGAAGUCUUGGCUAAACUCCAAUAGUGAUUUAGCUCAGGAAAAAUUGGGUUACAAGUUCUUAUUUCAUACUUUAGCUCCUCCUGGAGGUAAGUACAAUGCGUUUGAGGAUAUUGCAUCACAGUAACUGCGCAUAUUUAGCGUCUUUGCCCCAGGGAUACACUUGAAUGGUGGAGGAAUGGUGUCAUGAGAUGUUCUGUGAUGCACUUACUUAACCUAAUCCUUUCAGCCUUUCAAGAUGUGUUGAUACCACGUGAAUGUGCGCCAUUCUCCUGCUCUUUAAAUCCAACUCCAUCCAGUUAAAGAAUCUGAACCAGUUGUUUGCCUUCCUGUAAAAAGCCUGGUGUCCUGGGACGGGAGAUGCUUUCCCUCCCACUCCCAGCUUGUCCAGUUUUGCCAUAUUCAUUGCUGAGAAAAAGGAGUGGAGGGAAUGUAGUGCUCUGCUGUAAUUUUCAGUAAUAGUUGCACACAUCUCAAGAAUUGUAAAUUACAAGUACAGGCCCUUUUAUUUCUCUACUUCUGUUCCUUCUGUACACAGAUGCCUUUAGAUUAGGUGUGCUUCGGGUGAAAAAAUGGGCAGUGGCACAAUGGUUUGUAACAACAGCUGCCUACUGUAGACUUUAAGACUGUGUUUCUGUCUGUGCAGCUAAUGCCAAGUAAUGAUGGUGAGUAUUGCAGUAGGGUAAUGGGGGCUGGUUUGUCUUUUGUGUAACUGGCAGAAAAACGCAUGUGGAAUUUUCAUCCAAGACAGUCUGCUGACCUGAUGGCAGUGUGCUUUGUUUUUUAAGCUAGUUUAGAAACAAUGGGUUUCACCUGCAUUGAUUCCCUUCCUUCUUUCCCCCUUGUGUCAGUGCUGCUGCUCUGGGAGGAGACCAGGAUGCACCUUGCUUUACAGACAAUUUCAUUUCUUUGUUUGUACCAUACUUCUUUACAUGUAGAUGCCACGAAUCUCUCAGCUAAGAGUUGCUAUAGCUGUUUGAAAUAUAGAAAAAAGGAGUUCACUUCAGAAACUACCCAACUGAAUACCUGAUGCAGGAGAUAAGUGAAAGUUUUCUCUGUGUGUGGUUCAUUUCCAUUGGUUUGGGGAUGCCCUGGUAAUUGUCAGUGAGUAUGGAUUAUACUGACUAAUCAUAGCUUGUUGGAGUUAUGAACUUGUCUCAAACUUGGAUACUCUGCUCACCUGAAAGAGCUGAUGUUCAAGUCUCUCCCAACAGGCCUUAUCUCCAAGGCUGACAAGAAGCUAACAGUCGUAUUGCAGAAUUAAGUUUUGUUGUAGCAUUUCGUAUGAAAAGACAUAAGGCGAUGCUAUAACAGAAAGCCUGCCUUUAGCAUUUCUUGGAUACAUGAAGGAAAGUGUCUGUAAGGUCCUGAGCCUAUGAAGCCAAUACGUUUGUCCAUACUUGGACUACUGUGCUGAUAUGCCGCCUUGCAGAAACAAUAGGUUGUCUUUGUUAUUGAAGCGAUUUUCCUCACCGUGGACUUAGGUAAGCAACCACACAGUGUCCUGAAGACUAGGAGAAGCAAUUGGAUAACCCUGCAGGAGGGACAUGGAAAAUGAGAAUAAGUAGGAACGUGUGAUGCUUUGCUCAAGGAAGAAAUUGUUUUAUCUAAGUUUGUGUGUAGAAACCUGGCUUUGUAUCUCGGCUUUCAUUCUGACAGGUUCUUAAUGAAAACUUCAAGGAGUUGGAUGCUCAAAAUUGAUCCUUCACUGGGUGGUGUAUCAAAACCAGUGUGCAGUCUGCAUGAGAAAUACAUAUAUUUACAAGGUUUGAGUGUCCAAAUAUGUUCUGUGAUAACAUAAGGUAUCUGGUGUUCUGCUGUCCUAGUGUCACCAUCUAUAUUCGCACAGCAACACAGAGAACCAGCAGGAUGUUGGAGCUGUCCAAGUUCUUCAAAAUAAUUGUCAGUCCUUAAGUGUAUGCAAAUUAGCUGGAUGAAAAGAUUUUCAGGUGCACUGAAACGGUGACUGAUAGGAUCUGUGCUCCUCUUGGUGUGUAAGUUUUGAGUUGAAAUCGCAUUUUAUUAAUUAUCUGAACUAUAAAAUGUGGUCGUCUCCAGACCCUUUGCAGAAGGGAGGAGAGUGUAAGUGUCACUGCCCAACUGCUCACUUGAAAGCCUGUGGGGGAAGGGUGUAAACUCUUUUAACAUCAAAGUUACUGCUCAGAUUCUGGAGGCUGAAGAAGCUGCUGUGGAGGUUUUUUAUUUGUAAUUAAUCUCCCAUGGACCUAAUUUCAAAAGAGUGGAGCUGCAGGUUGAAAGGUGAGUGAAUUCAGUUAGGUGGAAUAGGUAAGGAAUUUUAUAUCAUGUUAAUGUUCCCAAGUAUCUUAAUACAGAAAAUCACAUUGCUCUGUUCUUAAACAGGGGGAACUUGGAAAAAAACACAGGUAAGAUUGGAAGGCUUCUGACUUUUCUUAAGUGUUCCUGGUGAAGUUGUGGGGAGGCAGCUGUUAAACCAGUUCUGGAAGAACUUGCUAUUGCUGCAUAGCCAAAAAACCUUGUAAGCGUCUGAAAAUAAUUGUGACUAAUUAUAAAGUGUUACCUUUUUUUUUCUAUCUUUCAGCAGAAGAGUGCUCUAAGCAGUCAGGAACCUCUUCAGGUAGCACGGGCAUGUUCUUCAACUGAAAGAGACAGCAGGAAAGAGUGUGCACGCAGCUGUGGGUCUCUGGGUUCACAAGGACAGGGUUCUGAAGGAACUCGGGAGAGAAAAAACACUUCAAGUUUGCUCCACAACUUUUAAGUCCCUUAAAUUUAAAUGAGAACCCAUCUAAUACUGAAACAGGAAGUUAUUUUAUCCCCUACUGGAGAAGGGGGUGGGAAUAGGGAACUGUAAAGUGCUUGGUCAGGAUGCUGUGAUCCUUGGGAAAACUACAGGUGACUCAAGUAUGAGAGACUCCAGUUGUGAGAAACAUGCUUUUGGGAACACACACUACCACUGCGGGGAAACUAGGGAAACAGAGGAGCGUUAGGAGUAUGCUCUGCAGGUGUUUCUUGCCUACAUAAGGAUGGAUCUCUGCAGGUGGAUGGCCUCAGAUGACCACUGAAAAAUGUAGGGUUGUAGGCAGACAUUUCUCUGGAAAGCAUAUAUGCAGCUAUCCUGAACCACCCGGACAGAUUCAGUCUUCAUCAAAGAGUAUUUCUGGUCUAAAAAUAGCUGUGCUUAGUCCACCUAAAUCUGCAGAGUGUCCUGGCCAAUUGCAGCACUGCACUGAAGAGAAACAGCCUUCUGUGGGACCAAACACGACUCAGAUGGGCUUCAGUGCUGAGUAUAAAUUGCUUGGUUUCCUGUGGUCUAGCUGUAAUAUAUGCGAUGGACGCUCCUGAGCACUUCCAUGUGGAGCAAGGAAACAUGGGCUAGACGGGUUCAGAUGUAUUGUGUGUGUGUGUAGUGCCCUCUUCAGCACAAAACGUGAUAAAACCCUGUAUCGGAAAAGGCAGGUCCGGGUAUUCCACUGUGAUUACGCUGUGUGUGUGACCUCACUUGUGUCACCAAGCAUGGAAAAACCUAUUUUUACUGUGUGGUCAUUCAGCUGAUCACUGCGUCUGAGCCAGAUGUAGUCCAUAAGCUGACAAAUCCGUAAGUGUGGUACUAGCUUCUGCUCCCCAAAAAAGUGGAGACGCAGCAGGAUCACUGACCUGGAUCCCUGAUUAUACAUGCUGGUGGGCUCCAGAGCUACAUGGAUGCAUUGGUGCUAAUUGUACGUUGCUUCCUAUAUGAUUCAGGUUAAAAUAUAGGCUUUGGCAGUAUGAGUACCUAAACAAUAGUACUGCAGUUGGAGCAUUCCUUAAUGCACACAAACCAUUUCCUUUGGGUAAGUAAGACACUGUGAAGAAGCACUCAGCUGGGGGAGAGCAUCAUUUGAUAGUGUCUCUGGUGCCAGAAUUCCCUGGGUUUGAUCCUCUUCCUUGCCUUGGACUGCUUUUUACCCAAAAUUUCAGCUUUUCUGUACAUUAGUGCUUGUUGGCUGUUUUCCACUAUUUUUGGGUUUGGUUGGGGUUUUUUUCAGUUUCUCCACAAAUACCUCUUCCUGGAAAAGUGGGAAGAACAGUAAGUAUCUCAGGCUCCUGGCCAAGUUUCCACUCACAUGGUUUCACUUGCUCCAUUCUGUCAAGUUAUUUACAUGCAGUGUCCUAAGGAUAUAAUUGAGUGCCUGCUGAUAAGCAGCUAACCUUUAUGUCUUGGCCAUGGUCUGUGUUGGUUAGGUUUACACCAUCUGCUUCCUCCUGGUGAAUUCAGUGGCUGCUCUUGGCAGCCCUCACUUUCCUGUUGCACAAGUUCAUGAAGGAGAUAGUGUUAUACCAUUCUUGCAAAGACUUUAGAAAGGACGCCCUAGGAAUGAUCACUUUACUUGCAGGUCUGUAUGACUCUAUCUCCUCUGAACCUUGCUUUUCUGUGUACACACAAGCCCUGGGUUUCUCAGGGCGAGAAGAAUAUGUUUGGCAUGUAACGAGUCUGACAGGGUUGAAUAUAGGAGAGGUUUCUCAGCAUAGAGGUGUGAAGCUGACUCUUUUAAGGUACCUUGCUGAAAGAGACAUUGUUUUAUCCUCAGGUUCCAAAUUCAUCCAUAUCAGAGUUGGUUUGUAUCCAGUAGAGACUUUUGGGGCAUGGAUUCCCAGGACGCAUAUUUCCUUACUGCACUGCUUUGAGCUCCCAGAAAAUGCAGUCAUGCAAGCUUUGGUGGCAUUGCUGGUAGACAGAAGGUUAUCUCUUGCCCCUUGCCCUCCUGUGCCACAGUGCAUCAUUCCCUUGUGCCAACAAAACUAUGGGAGUGGCACUGAGCUAUCAGCGCUUUAAUCAGCGCACUAUGCAUGCUCUCUGCCCUGUGUAUGCUUUUCUGUGGCUCCUGGUGAAUGUGGAGGAAGCUUGUAGUUGUGCAGCUUUCUAACACCAGGAUCAGGUUAGCGAGCUGGUUUAGAGCACUUGCACUGUCGCAGUAAAAAUAGGUGGCGAGGUGCACAGCAGAAGUCAAAAGUCCUUGGGCUUGUUGCUGAAGCCUCCUGACUCAUUGAAGUGUCCAUUUAAGGACGAAGUUGAUUCUGUGUGGGAGGAGCAGCAGCUUGUCCCUUGUGUGCAUGAAUGCUUUUGCUAACUGUUUUUCUGCUUUAGGUCUCAUGACCCAGCCAAAUGUUUUGCUGCGUGCAGGCUUCUGACUAGGCAGUGGCAGUGGUGGAAAGCCAAAUGUCUGUAAGCAGCACUGGUGAUUGCUCUAUGUACUCCGACAAAUCCAAGUGGGAGAGGAGAGUUAGAGUAUGAUGUGGAGCAGUUUACCCCUAAAUUCUGCCUUUUAUCACUGUUAUAGAGGGUACAGAUUUGUUAUCUUACAAUGAAAGUGGUUUCUUAUGCGUAGGCAGUUGUAUGUUACCCCUGUACAUCUUUAAUGGCAGAGUAGAUCUGCUAAAAGAGCACUAAAACAUUUCACACAGGACAGAUGAAAAGACUACUCUGUUUUCCACGUCAGUGUUUUUGCAGCGCUCCUGGUAUGAGUGAAGUCAGCUUUGCCACCACGGACUCUUACAAUGCAAGUAUGAAUCACUGCCUCCGUUCUAUUAGCAGUGAAUACUGUCCUCAGUGAGGAUAAUCUGGUGUUAGUCGUUUUGAAGUGAUGCGUGGUGGCUUCACUCUACUUGCUCUGCUUUAGCUAAUAAUAACUAAAGUAGUAAUUGUGUCCCCUGAGAGUUAGAUUGUUGCUGCUGUUAACCUUUCUGGGAAAACAAAUGAGAAGUAGAGACAGAUGCAAACCUGGUGAAUCAGAAGGAGGGUGUUGCCCAGCCCAGGAGCCUUGUAGUUCACUGGGGAUGACGAGGGGCAUGCGAUACUGGCUCCUGUCUCUGGUCCAUUUAGCCUCCUGCAAAUUCCUGCCCACUGAAAGCUCCCCUCAUCUCCAGGGCAGGUUGUGACUGGAGCCACUGCUGUCCCAGUGCUACCUCCUGGAAACAAAGAAGGAAAGAGUUUAUUUUCAUAGGCACUCCAGUCCAAUAAAAAUAAACAAAUUGGCCUACUCUUAAUUAUAAACAAAUAAAUACAUUUAAUUUAUAAAUUAAUAAUUUAGAAAUAUUGACUCAUAGAGUAGAUUGGGUUGGAAGGGACCUUAAGGAUCAUCCAGUUCAACCUCCCCCUGCCGUGGACAGGGACACCUUCCACUGGAUCAGGUUGCUCAAAGCUUCAUUCAACCUGGUCUUGAACACCUCCGGAGAUGGGACAUCUACAACUUCUAAAUAUUCAUAUCUAUUCUAAAUAUUUUUAUAGCGUAAAUGUAUUAAUAAAUACAUACCUGCAAAUAGAUUAAUAUAUGUAUAUAAAUGUAUAACUUUUUAAUACAUUUAUAUAUUACAUGUAAACAUAUUACAAGAUAUAGUGUAAAAUUAUAAGAUAUAAAUUGGUAAGCCAGAGGAAUCACAUUAAAAUAGAGGAGCUCUGUGUUGCCAACAGACUCCUGGGAUGGAGUAGCUUUUUUUUUUCUCCUGAGAACAGGCUGAACGUGACAGUCUGGUCCCCAACAAAUGCAGUCUGUGUGAAUCAUCUGGUUGUGUUACAAUUUCUAAUUGUGCCUGUUUUAAAGUCUCAUCCUAGAGAAGGUUGUUUGGCUGUGGUUUAACUUUGUCAUGAGUAUGGAUGCAUGUGAUGUGCUUGGCUCUGGGAGGUCUCUCAUGAGUUUCUGUCAACACGGCAGUGUUGCAGCUCUCCAGAAUGGGUAACAUUGCUGUCCCUUAUUCUGAGUGCAGCCCCAUUCCCAUGGGUUUGACAGUAUCUCACAUAUCCCAGCCAUCCACUACAGUCAGUUCUCCCUUAUCUGAAAGUAAAUUUAGGUACAGAUCCUGCAGGCAAGAUUCAGGGUUUGGCAUAUGCCUGCCUUUUUGUGAUAAUGCACUUGUGCUCUCUGGUAUGGGUGGAACUGCCUCCUGGGAACAGGCGAUUUCCAGUCUUGCUCCUCCCAGAGGAAACACACACUUGGUUUUUCCCUGUUCUGUGGUAGUGCUUUAUGUGCACAGCCUCCAUGUAAUGUUUACCACUGUGGGGUGCAGAAGGAUGGCUACCCCAGUCUUCCCUAAAUUUGCUGCUUAGCAGUCAGUGACAUUACAGGGAACACAAGGCAUCAUUUUCCUCAUGUACUGCCCACAAAUGGCACUUGGUAAUGGAGGUGUUAAGGAAGGCUUUGUGCCAGCAUACAGGUUUUACACACUUUGGGUUUUUUCCUUUUCUGUGCCAUCUCCCUGUCACACAUGUAGAACCUCACACUUGGUUUUUGAUUAGCAAGUUAUGUCCUGAUGUGUGUGACAAGCCUUAGGAUAAUUCUCCAUUUGUUCAGCUGUGUGGAGGUGGUGAUAGUGGUGGCUGCAAAUUUCCAGCUUUUGCAUCCCAUCACUAGGAAGAGGAUACCUUAGAGGAAAAAGCCCUCAUUACCUUCCUGUCUAUUGGCAUAUCCCAAACAGCUCCGAGCUGGUGCUAGGGCUCUGACCAGCUGCCGCCUCUCCACCCGCCCCCUGCCCUGAGUGGUUGAACAGCAGCACCCUAUGAAUUCAUGGAGGUGAGGGAACACCCAUCUGAAGAGGGGCUGUCUUCUGCCUCUUCCCUUUCUGUUCCCAUGGCUUUUAUGUCCCCCUUCAUGAAGCUUGUUUCCAUUCUUGUUUGAAAAAAUCAGCUCUGAUAUUGCUCUUUAGUGCAUGCAGUUGGGAUACAAGAGGCCAGGAUGUGUCUUCGCAUGCCAUCAUCUGAAGUUUUUUCAUGCCUGACACUGGAAAAAAGCUGCUGGUCCUUUCAUAGUUGGUAACAAAGAAGACAUGAAUGUGGAUGAGGUCCAGGAAAUACCUUCGUAGAGUCUUGUGUGUGACCUCUGCUAAAUUUGACAAAGCACUUUAUAUCCCUUUUUAGUGACACUGUGAUCAAGUGUUCUUCCAUAGCCCUGUCAUGAUAAUCUUGCAUUAAGAUUUUGAAAUCCUUUGCUAAGUGAGAAGGCUCUGAUGAGCUCACAACGUGUUGGUGGCUCUAUACUUUUUUUCAAGGGUCCUACUGAGCAGGUUGUGAUGGAGAGAAGGUGCUUGACCCAUUUCCUUUUCAGUACAUGUUUCAGCUCAGUAAGCUCCAGGGAAUCAUAGAAUCACAGAAGAGUUUGGGUUGGAGGGGACCUUAAAUAUCAUCUAGUUUGACACAUCAGGCUGCACAGGGCCCCAUCCAACCCGACCUUUAACACCUCCAGGGAUGGGGCAGCCACAACUUCCCUGGGUUGCAACCUGUGCCAGUGCCUCACCACUCUCAUAGUGAAGAAAUUCUUCCUAAUGUCUUGUCUAAAUCUGCCCUUCUCCAGUUUAUACCCAUUGUCCCUAGUCCUAUCACUAGAAGCCUUUGUAAAUAGUCCGUCCCCAGCUUUCUUGUAGGCCCCCUUCAGGUACUAGAAGGUUGCUGUAAGGUCUCUGAGCCUUCUCUAGGCUGAACAAGCCCAACUCUUUCAGCCUAUCCUCGUAGGGAAGGUGCUCCAGCCCUCUGAUCAUCCUUGUAGCCCUUCUCUGGACCCAUUCCAACAGUUCCAUAUCCUCCUUAUGUAGAGGAUUCCAGAACUAGACACAGUUCUCUGAAUUAAGUCUCACAAGAGAGGAAUAGAGAGGCAGAAUCACCUCCCUCGACCUGAUGAUCACACUUCUUUUGAUGCAGCCCAGGAUACAGCUGACCUGAGCUGCGAGAGCACAUUGCUGGCUCACAUUGAGCUUCUCAUCCACCAGCACCCUGAAGUCCUUCCCUGCAGGGCUGCUCUCAAUCACAUCACCCCCAUCACGUACUGAAAUCGGGGAUUGCCCCAGCCCAGGUGUAGGCCCUUGCACUUGUCCUUGUUGAACCUCAUGAGAUUUUCACUUCUCUAGCCUGUCCAGGUCCCCCUGGAUGACAUCCCGUCCUUCUGGUGUGCCAACUGCACCACUCAGCUUGAUGUCAUCUGCAAUCUUGCUGAGGGUGCACUCUCACUGUCUGUAUCAUUGAUGAAGAUACUAAUGAGCACCGGUCCUGGUAUGGAUCUCUAAGGGACCCUCAUCACAGACCUCCUUCUGGACAUUGAGCCAUUGACCACUACUCUCUGAAUACAACCAUCCAACCAGUUUCUUGUUCACCACACAGUCCACCCAUCAAAUCCAUAUCUCUCCAAUUUAGAGAGGGAUGUUGUGGAGGACCGUGUUAAAGGCUUUACAGAAGUCCAGCUAGAUCACUUUCAUUGGUUUUCCUGUGUCCACUGCUGUAGUUACCCUAUCAUAGAAAGCCACCAAGUUGGUCAGACAGCACUUGCCCGUGGUGAAGCCAUGCUGGCUGCCAUUAAUCACCUCCCUGUCCAUGACCUCUGGCACAGAAGUGAGGCUGACAGGUUGGUAGUUCCCAGGUUUGUCUUUUCUACCCUUUUUAAAAACAGGUACAAUGUUACCCUUCUUCCAGUCACCAGGGGCUUCUCCUGACUGCUAUGACUUUUCAAAUAUCAUGGAGAGUGGCUUGGCAACCGCAUCUGCCAGUUCCCUCAGGACUCUGAGAUGCAUCUCAUCAGGUCCCAUAGACUUAUAAAUGUUUGGGUUUUCCUCAGGUGUUCACGAACCUGAUCCUCCUCUAUUGUGGGAGGGGGUUUACUCCCCUGGUCAUCAUCUUCUUAUCCCUACAUCUUCUGUGUAACUUACAGCCGGUUACAUUUCUCAGUUUUGUACAAAUACGACUGGUUUUAUACAAAGGCAUAGAAUCAUGGAAUGGUUUGGUUUGGAAUGGACCUUAAAGAUCAUCCAGUUCCAACCCCAUGCUGGGACACAUUCCACUGAAUCACGUUGCUGAAGGCCUCAUCCAACCUGGCCCUAAACAUCUUCAGGGAUGGGGUAUCCAUGGCUUCUCUGGACAACCUGUUUGUAACAAUAUAAAUGACAUUCUUUAGUAGGUAUUUUUUUCAUGCUUUAUAUUUGUUGCAUGUAUCCACAGCAGUUAAGUCAGUAGUAUUAUCAAUAAAUGUUUAAAUUGAGUAUUAAACCAUAAGAGUUCUUGAGAUCAAACUUCAGAAGACCUGGGUCCUCUCCUGGUACAUUAAGCUGGCAAAUCAUUUACCCUUCAGGACCAUAUUUUGCAGUGAAGGUCAUCUGUUUGUGUGUCUGGCUGAUGUUGCUCUGCUUCAGCAUCUUUUUCUCUGAGGCAUAAUCCGGUUCCCAUUGAAUCUUUGGUGGGUUGGUGGUGAAAUGACACUUAAAAGUUAAAUGAGAAGUGUUCUUUCUGUGCCAAGUGUCUUAUUUUUUUAACAUCUGUAUUUUAAAAAUUUAAAGUAGCACCUUUGAUUUCCUAAACUGGUGAUGUGUGAUGAUAAAUAGAUCUCAAUAACCAGUUGCCUCCAAUUCCUCAAAUUCAUAAGGGUCAUUUUGCAGACAGCCAGUGAAGAUGAAGAACCAUGGUACUGCUGGAAACCAACCAGUCAUCACUCAAAUACAAUAGUGCAAAAACCUGUCAGCAGGCUGAACAAAUUUAGCUCUUCUUACAGUCUUACACCUACAGUGUUCUGUCUAAAAACUAUUAUCCCUUGGAAAACUAGUUGACAACGUUGUAAAGAGAAGAUUCAAAUACUUAAUAGUACCUCUAUAGGGUUCCUCCUAUUUUAAUGCACUUAUAAAUGUAGCUGACUCGCACUUUAAUAAAAAUAUUGGGAGCCAUCUGCAGAUAAAAAGUAACCUAUUGAACCUUCUUCUAGUAUUAUUUUUAACUCAUCCAUUUUCAUAGCCAAUUUGUGGCACCACUAAAUAUGUUCACAUUUCCAAGUCCAAGACAGAAAAAUGCCUUUCUGUUGUUUCUAAAGAAAUAAAAUUAUGACAGGAGCCCUGAUUUUCAAAACAGGUACAUUAAAUUUGCAUUUUGUGUUUAAUAAAAUUAAUGCAUGUGCUUGUUUAUAAAGUUGAUGUUCAGGCAGGGUUUGUAGUUUACUAGCCCAGUUGUUUUGCUUACAGAGUAACAAAGAGGAAAAUGGAUCACAUUAGCAGCCAUACAUCUUUCUCUUCUUACCUUCUUCCCCAUCACAGGCUCUCCUAGGACUGUGGCUUUAAGUUUAAAGCUGGGCUAGAUGCAGGAAUGAGGGAGUGGCAGCAUUCCUCUCCUGCAAAAACCCAGCACCCUGUGAUGCCAGCGGGCAGAAAAACGGUCUCUGUCCCUCUGUCUCCAAAGCUCCCUGCCACUCAGGUGGCACCUCUGAAGAGUAGCCAAAUACUGCGCGAGGCUGCAAAAUGCAUAUCAGAGGUGUGGAUCCCUGCUAGCUUUGAAACUGGAGAUGCUGCUGCUCUAGUUGCUCGUCGGCUGUACUUGUGGGUCUCUACCAGCAGAGGGUGGCUCUAAGACCGUUCAUGCCUUGCUUUAAUGUUUAAAUACGUCGCAGGCAGAAUAUUGAGCAUGAUGGUCUUAGUGUUUCCUUUAUCUCCUAAUCCUCCAUUUAUCUUUACUUAAUAAUUAUGAGAAAUUAAGUAUUUAGCAAAGAUUUUCAUUUGAGCUUUUCCUCACUCCUUAUUUGCUUUGACAUUAUUCUGCCACAUGAGAAUAACCAAACGAUUAAAUUUAGGAAGACAGUUUUAAGAUAAUGUUGCUAUUGAUUGGGAACUACUUCAGUUGAGGACCAAAGCAUUUGAAAGAGAUCACUCUCUGAAUAAGUUGUCAGUGUUCUGGCACUUAUUAGGGACAGAAACUUUAGACGCUACUAGGGGGUGGAAUUAAUUUCAGGCAUUGGAACAGAUGCCCAGUCUAUGCUCAGGCUUUCCUUACAGUCUGCAGAGAGGACUGGAUGUGUCCCAAAGAUGAUCUUUCCAAUGCCUUUUACUCUAAUUUAGGAGCCUAAGUUUACAGAAUGCAAGCUAGCAGGAGUCUGAUCCUAAACAUCAUUUGUUCAUGUAUAAUUAUUCUCACAUGGACUCCCACUAUGUGCGACAGGUAAUGACUAGACAGUUAAUUAUGUGAGUAUUUCGCAGCACUGGGCUCAAUUCUCAUGCUUGUGUUACAGGGAGACUAAUUUGUCUCUUGAGAUUUCUGUUCCUUUCUGUUGACUACAGAGGAAGCAGAGGUCAGACUGGCUCACAGUUAGAACUCAUAGCUGGCGUACAUCUCACCCAUGCUGCCUACAGGCUGGUGUUACUAAUAUUGGGUACUGCUCUGCCUCAUCUUUAAACAUCUCUAGACAAUAAAUUUUACAGAUCUGAUUUCACAUCCAAAUGGCAUAAAGUUUAAAGUAACUGUUAAAGUGACAGUUACUUAUGUAAUUAGUAGGUAGUCAUUAACUUUUCCAAAACUAGUGGAAUUCCACAUGGGGACAAAUGCACAAGUGUAAACAAUUUGGGGUGUUGUUGACUGGAACUCUAUUAGGAAUAAUAAAAGGUAGCAGUAAGUAACGAUGGAAAAUUUAUCAUGUUCUGAUACAUAUGUAAGUUCUACGUUUCUAAGUAGUUCUAAAAUGGUUGAACAGAAUUUCUGUCCUUGAUUUCCAUUUGUUUACCGCUCAGAAUCUAAGUUUUCAAAACUUAAUUUCUUUCUCAAGUUCUUUAAUUAAAAAAAACCUGAGUAUUUGCAGUCUUCAUUCUGAACUCUUUCAGAAGUAUAACACAGAUCAUAGAAUCAUGGUAUGGUUUGGGUCGGAAGGGACCAUAAAGAUCAUCCGGUUCUAACCCCUCUGCCAUGGGCAGGGACACCUUCCGCUGGCUUAGGUUGCUUAAAGCCCUAACCAACCUGGUCUUGAACACCUUGAUGAUGUCGUAGUAUCAUCUAGAUGAGGCCUUAGUAUCUACUAUGGCUGGGAAGAUUCCUCUCUGCUUGCAGAAAUAAAGCAAACUAGUGACCAAAUCAAGCAAAAGAUUGAAGAGGCAGCUUCCAUCAUGGCUACAAACAGUAGGUAACCUCUGGCCUUCCCUACCACAAAACACAGGCAAUAUCGAACAUGCGUGAGUAGGAUUCACUCUUCCUCUUCUGCAGAGAUCAAGCCUUUUGAAUCAGUUUCCAAAACUCUGUCCAUGGUGCAAGAAGGGUGUUGCAGAGAAAUGCCAUGAGAAUGAUUAAGAGAUUAGAGGAACAGGAUCAGGAGCAUAAGAGACAGAGGAAAGAAGCGGGAACAAGUCAGAUGACAUCAAUGGAGAAAGCGAACCAACAUCUUCCCAGGUUUGAAAUGUAUCAUAGAACAAUAGAGUCGUUAACGUUGGAAAAGACCUCUAAGAUCACCAAGUCCAACCAAGAAUUAAGAGUUGCUGAGGCACAGAAUUUUGCAAAAUCUUUGACAAAUAUGCAGUAUGGAUGCAGCAUGGUGUAUUUCCUUGUGGAACGUUUUAAUGGCAUGCUUGGCUUUCAUGAAGUCAAGAAGAGGCAGCUGAGGUGGGACCUUAAUUGCUCUCUACAACUACCAGAAAGGAGGUUGUAGUGAUGCGGAUUGUGGUCUCUUCCCCAAGUAACAAGUUAUAGGAUAAGAGGAAAUGGCCUCAAGUUACACCAGGGAGAUUUAGGCUGGAUAUUGGGAAAAAUUUCUUUACUGAAAGAGUAGCUGCCCAGAGAAGUAGUGGAGUCUCCUUCCCGAGAGGUGUUAAAAAAAAAGGUGUAGAUGUGGCACUUCUGGACAUGGUUUAGUAGGCACAGUGGUGUUGGGCUAACGGUCAGACUGGAUGAGCUUAGAGGUCUUUUCCAACUUUAAUGAUUUUAUGAUCUUACUUUCUUAGUGCAGAGACUUGCCACCACUUACUUGAUUUGCAUGAACUUUCUGCCAAAAUCACAAGGAAGGAAUUGACAGGAUGGAAUUUAGCAACAGGGAAAUUGUGACAUAUUUUAAGAGAGUGCAUGCUCAGAAAAGGGGCUACUUCUGCAGCAUCUUGUCAGCAGAACAAGCUCUAUUCUUUCCCACAGAUGUCUUGUCUCUGCCUUGCCGCAGUGCUAAGAUGAUAUUUUGUAUUGUGAGAAGCCAAGGAGAAGAGAUUUACUACAACAAGAACAUCUAUGUACAUGCUAUUUAAACUCUAAACUCUAGUCAUUCUAUUGAGUUGAACUAAGACAAGCAUUAAAACCAGCAGGGACUGUAAUAAUUAGAAGCCUUUGCAGUUAUUACAGGGUUUGUUUUUCUACUGAAUCAACACAUGCUGCAGCUUCUGUGAUGAAGGAAGCACAUAUUGGCACAACAGCACACAAAAAUAUCAUCCCUUUUCCUGCAGAUGGGUCAGGAUGGCUCAGGCCAGACACAUCAGUCUUCCAAGGCAACUCAACGGUGCAGAACUUGAAUGUAUGAAGAAUGCCAUUUUGUUAAUACAUAGAUCAAUCUUAAAGCAGAGCAGAUGCUAAGCAUCUAAUAGACUGAGGGUAUUGUUCAGAAAUCUAACUGAACACAAGGAGCCAGAAGUCCAAAAACUGGCUUAAAGCAAUGAUGAAUAGAAUCAAAGAAUCCCAGAAACGGUUUGGGUUAGAAGAGACCUUAAAGAUCAUUCCACUCUCACUCCUCUGCCAUGGACAAGGACAGCUUCCACUGGAUCAGGUUGCUGAAAGCCUCAUCCAACCUGGCCUUGCACACCUCCAGGGAUGGCGCAUCCACGACUUGGCUGGGUAACCUGUGCCACUGCCUCACAACCCUCACAGGAAAAAAACUACUUCCUAAUGUCUAAUCUAAAGUUACCCUCUUUCAGCUUCUCUCCUUCUUCUCAGUCUUCCCUGAAACACUACAACCAAAAUUAAUAGUGCACCAUAUCUUCCUAAGCCUGACUGUUCACUCAAAUGAAGAGAAGAACAUGGGAGACUUUUAAAAUGCCUUAAUUGUUUAACCUUGAGUGGAAUUUGUUCUUAUAAAAUGCCAAACAGCCAUGUAUUUUUCAGGUCAAAAGCUCACAAGAUGAGCUGUGAGGUCUUAUUCUUCUUUGCCUUUACGAUAAAAAUCUGGAUGGCUUUAAAAAUGCUGAGAACAUGACAGUGGCUGACAAGAAAAGCAGAGAUAUGUGCUGUAGACAUUUUAUCUGUUUUUAUGAAACAAUAUUGAUGCAGGCGUAGGUCUUGCAUUUGCAAUCUCAGCCAGAAGCCAGGGCUGUUUUCUAAUCCCAGAGCCUUAUGCAUUCUGCUUUUCACCCUUAUGGAAGACCACCCAAUUUGGUAAUAUCCCAGAGUGACUUUAAGGAGACAGAUCCUAAGAAAUUAAACAGUUGCCUCAAGUUUUUAUUUUUAACUUUUUCUCAGUGGAAUUACAUCUUAUUUUGAGUGUGUGUGUGCAGCACAUGCAUAAGGCUGCUUCCACCAUUUUUAUCACUGGAUCUAUGCGCAAGUGGAUCCCCAAGCAUCUGGGUUUGGUUCCAGUUAGGAGUGGAGUGGGGAGGUGACCUCAUUUCCAUUGAAUUAUGAAGUAUCUAUGGUAUGGAGUUGCCACAAGUUUUAUAACAGCUGGAAGCUGAUAGCUGAUCUGACCUAGAAUCAUAGAAUAUUUUGGGUUGGAAGUGACCUUUACAGUUCAUACAGCUCAGCCACCCUGCAGAAGCAAGGACACCUUCCACUGGAUCAGGUUGCUCAGAGGCCCAUCCAACCUGACUUUGAAUGUUUCCAGGGAUGGGGCCUCCACUGCUUCCCUGAGCAACCUGUUCCAGUGUUUCACCACCAUAACUGUAAAAAAUUUCUUCUUUAUAUCCAGUCUAAAUCUACUCUCCCUCACUUUAAAACCAAUAUUCCUUGUCCUGUCUCAACAGGCCUUGCUGAAAAGUCCGUCCUCAUCUUUCCUGUAGGCCCCCUUUAAGUACUGGAAGGCUGCUAUAAGGUCUCCCAGGAACCUUCUCUUCUCCAGGCUGAAAAAGCCCAGCUCUCAGCUAGUCCUCAUAUGGGAGGUGCUCCAGCCCUCAAAUCAUCUCUAUGGCCUCCUCUGAACCCGCUCCAACAGCUCCAUGUCCUUCCUGUGCUGUGGGCUCCAGAGCUGGAUGCAGAACUCCAGGUGAGAUUUCAUGAGAGCAGAGUAGAGGGGGAGAGAACCUUCUCCCUCGCCCUGCUGGCUACGUUUCUUUUGAUGCAGCCCAGAAUACAGGUGGCUUCCUGGGCUGCAUGUGCGCAUUGUUGGCUCAUGUCCAGCUUUUCAUCCAUCAGUACCCCCAAGUCCUUCUCCGCAGGGCUGCUCACAAUCACAGCAUCCUCCAGCCUGUAUUGAAACCAAGGAUUUCCCUGACAGAAAGUGACAAUAGCACAGACAGACAGUAGCUGUAACUGUAUUAAAUGUGUCGGUACAAAAUUAACAAAAUUUUUAAGGAAGUUUUAACUUCACAGCAUGAGUUACAGCUGGGUCUGUAUCUGGGUUAGAGGGUUAGGGCAUAUCUGCUCGAUUGUUAAGCCACAGUCAGAGACAAGGAGGGUGAACAGUAUCUUCUGUAGUUACUAAAAAUGGAAAACACUCUGCCACUGGUGCGUUCUUCUCAGUGAAACAGCCAGAGCUAAUUGAAAUCUGCUCUUGGAGCUGAUCCAACUAUCAUCUAUCUAAAUGUUCAGUCUUCAAAAAGAUUCUGCGUUGUUGCGCAGUGAUGGCAAAGAACAACAUCAAACUGCCAACAUGUAUUAACAGGGAGAUUUAAAGAAGACAGGCAUUGGUGUAACUGUACUUUGUUGAGCUGAGCACGAGUAGAGUUGUUGUCUGCUUGGAUCGUUUAACUGGCCUUAAACCAAAAUAUAUACUUAAUAUUCAACAGCCACCUAUGCCCAGCAAUGACAGGGUCCUCCAGUGAUACGUUAACUAUGUCAAUGAACUAUUAGCUAAAUAGUAGCUGGGCUUUUCUGGUUAAAAGAAAACUAGACCUUCAUUAAAUUCUAAGACAAGUGUAAAAAAAAAAUGUUUCUUUCAUUCUGUGUUCUGGUUAUCUGCCACCUUAACCUGGAUAAUAUGAAUCUGCUAACUUAUUGACUUAACUAAAAUUGCAACCUAAAUCAUCUGAAAUAUAGAGCGCUGCUUUGGUUUUAAUCAGUUUUGUGAAACUGUAAGUAAAUUAGGUAAGUAAUGUGCUUUGUGAGAUUCAUGUUUGUGCUCCCGCCUUCAUGUUUGUGCUCCUGUUUGGAUGAUGCAAUCCAAACACAGGGCACAAGAUGUGUUUACUUCACUAAACUGCAACCUGGGUCACAAGCUCUGAGGGCGCACAGAAGUUCUGGUGUGAAGUCGCCAGCCUCUUGUGUCUGACUCCAAAGUCACUGCCUAUAUCCCUUACAUUACACAAGCUGUAACAUCCUCAAUAAUGAUGAUCGUGACAAGUCAUCUGUCCUGCCAUGUUAAGAAUGUAGGCGUUUAUAAAUUAAAAAUAUGCUUAUGCACUGUGGAUUUACUAUGUAAAUCAACCGAAGGCACACAACUGCCAAAUACAUUCACCUAUAAUGAGCACCUACCUGGAUAUACAGCAGGCUGGAAACAAGACAAAGCAGGGAUCGUGUAGAUCAUCUCACCCACAGCUGCAGAGUAGAGCAGCCUAGCCAAGGGGCCUCCUUUUACAGCCUGCAGGGGUAGUACACCUCCAGCGCAUUUUUACUAUAUAUACUGUUCCCUGAAAUGUUAUAUAUCAUAAAAAACCUUGGGUGUCGGCUGGCACCAGGAAGGAAGGCUGCCUCUGUCUUGUCUUGGAUGCCGUAGCCAUGGUUGGACCCAGGGAAGUGGACGAGAAGCCUUUCUUUGGUGCAGCUAAUGGUGACCCAUUUUCAGAGCGGGAUGGGACAGAGAGAAGUCUCUGAAAGAAAUGACCUGCCCUACAAGAAGUUAAUUUAGAAACUUUCUGUUUCUGUUUUGCCUCACAUGAAGUAUUCUCUAUUUUUUUAAUGUAUUCCUUAAUGCUUUAACAAAUCUGAUUUCUGAAGUUAAGAGCUUUGUGGUUUGGGACAUUUGUUUCAAGGGGAAACUGGAGGCAGGUCCACCUCAAAGAUGUGCUGACUCCACCAGAGUGCUUAGAUCAUUAAGAAUGCUUAUUACCUCCAAAAUGAGGAUGUGCCUUGAAGGAUUAUAAUAAGAAUUCCUUAGUUAAUUGCCGAAAAUGGUAUUCCCUUGCCCUCUGCUCAGUGUAUUCAUCUACACACUCACAAGGCAAGAGUGAAUUGCAGAACAUAUUGAUUUACAUUUAAACUCAUUCAUAUACUUUGGCCUGGAAGCAUGGAGUUGCUCUCCCAAUCAUUCAUAUUUACAUAAGCUGAGUACAGAGGUAAAAAGUAAUAAAAGAGCAAGGCAAAGGAGAAAGACUCAACAAGAACCUCAGCAAAGCUAAGUUCUUGGGCUGUAUUAAUCAGAUUUUUGCCCUUUUAAAUUCUUGUGUCUUUGUCAAGUUUGCAGCACAGGGCUCUUUAUUACAGAUGCAAAGCCUGAACAAAGCACAUUUGCUGCCCCUCUGCAUAUAGAUGUGCUAAUGUGUAACUUUUGCCAUGUUUCAUAUAGUGUGAAUGAAACAAAUAGGUACUUGUGUCCUUAUUCAAGUGAUGGAAACAGCAACGGGGAAAAGGACAAUUUAGAAUUUCUGCUAACAGGAACACAAACCAGAUAGAAAGAACCUCACAAGAUUUUAUUUGAGCAACCUACUAGUGUGCCUGCUUACUGAUGUGUAUUGUGUCAGUUCUCCCAAGUAACAAGUGAUAGGACAAGAGGAAAUGGUCUCAAGCUGUGCCGAGGAGGUUCAGACUGGAAAUCAGGAAAAAUUUCUAUACUAAAGAGUGGUGAAGCAUUGGAAGAAGCUGCCCAGGGAAGUGGUAGAUUCCACAUCCCUGGAGGGGUUCUAAAUGAGUGUAGCUGUGGCACUUCAGGACAUGGUUUAGUAGGCACGGUGGUGUUGGGCUGACAGUUGGAAUGGAUGAUCUUGAAGGUCUUUUCCAACCUGUAUAAUUCUACGAGUUCACCAGUGCAUUGGCAUGGAUAUAUUCUGGUUAUCUGCCAUAUUAACUUGGUAACUAGAUAAUUUGAAUCUGCUAUUUUAUUGACUUAACGGAAAUUGCAGCCUAAAUUACAUGAAAUAUAGAGCAUUUAGAUAUACAUAUGGAAUAUUAAUUUUUAUUACGGGGCUCCAUUCUGUCUCCUUUCACAGCAGUGAAGUAGUUAGACAUAAAAAUAUACAACUUCCACCCUUGGUCUAAAUGUAUUUAAAAUUAUGCCAAGCAACCCCAAAUGGGUAUUGUCUCAUACAAACCGAAAUCAAAGCAAGAACUGGUCAUGACCAGGCUCGUAACUUGUCCUGAUUUCUCUCUCACUCGGCACAUCUCCAAACACUGAGUCUCCUGGUACAGUCUAAUUUACCAGGUGCUCUCAAUGUAAAGGGAACAGUUUGGUAAUUCAUUAUUGAUUGUUUAUGAUUGAAAAUAUUUACUGUAAAUACUUUUUGGACAAAGAGAGUGCUGCAAACACGGGGAUAUUAGGCAGCUGUAUAUUCCUACGGCGUGCAGAUGAAGUGUAAUUGCAGUUUUUUGCCUUCUAGCAACUCAGGCAAAGGGAUUGUAAAAGCUCUUGGGAAUUAGUCCAGGACUUUUAUGAUGGUCUUGAAGAAGAACAUUGUGAGUACUUCUUUAAACAUCUCUUAGGUUAGCCAGGGAAUUGUUUUACUGUAGUGCCUACAGAGUCCUUAAAAAGAUUACACUUCUGUUGAGCAUUCCUGGAGCUCAGCUGGGAAGGCAAGAACUCCAGGCAGCACCAGGAUGUGAAGAAGUCAUUGUGCUUUUCUCAUUAUGACUUGCAGCCUUGGGGAGCAUGCUGUCAGGCACAGGGCCACUCAAUCAAGGCCAUAUUCUAUGUCCUCUCCAUGUCCCCUACACCAAGUGCCACCGUUGCACAGACAUGAGCAGUGUCUAUCCAGACCACCAAUGAAGGAGGUGCUGGUUCACCUGGCCCUUGUGCAGGAGCUCUCAGGCAAGGUCUGCAAGGGUGUCAUACCUUCACAUGCCCAAAAGCAUGUGAACAUAUAGAAUCCUAGAACGGUUUGGGUCAGGAGGAACCUUAAAGCCCAUCCAGUUCCAAUGUCCCUGGCAUUGGUGGGGACACCUGCCACUGGAUCAGGUUGCUCAAAGCCUCAUCCAACCUGGCCUUGAAAACCUCCAAUGAUGGGACAUCCACCACUUCUCUGGGCAACCUGUGCCAGUACUUCCCUACCCUCACAGGAAAAAAUUUCUUCCCAAAUAGCUCAUGUAAAUCUUCCCUCUUUUCACCUUAAAACCAUUCCCCCUUAUCCUAUCCCUGCACUCCCUGAUAAAGAGCCCUGCUCCAUCUUCCCUGUAGGCCCAUUUUAAGCACUGGAAGGCUGCUAUAAGAUGUCCCUGUAGCCUUCUCUCCAGGCUGAACAAGCCAAACUCUCUCAGCUUGUCCUUGUAUGAGAGGUGCUCCAGCAUCUUUGUGGCUUCCUCUGGACUCGCCCCAAAAGAUCCAUGUCCUUCCUGUACUGAGGACUUUCAGAACUGGAUGCAGGACUCCCAAGGAGGUCUCAUGAGAGCAGCAGAGAGGGCCAGAAUCCCUUGCCUCAGCCUGCUGGCCCAACUGCUUUGGAUGCAGCCCAGGAUACAGUUGGCUUUCUGGGCUGCAAGUGCACAUUGCCAGCACAUGUUGAGCUUCUCAUCCACAUAUCAGAUCCUCUUCACUACCAACACUCCACACAGCAAUCUUUAUUAUCAAAACAUAAAGAGUCCCUUCCCAGCUUUCCUGUAGGCCCCCUUUAAGUACUGCAAUAAUGUCUUCCUGGAUGCUCCAUCCCACCUAUCCCCCAGGCACUCUCUACCUCCUCAAAACCUUUGCAGCACAGCCAAGGUGGGUUUCCUCUUCAUUUAUUGAAUUAAUCACUCUGCUACAACCAAAAUAGGAUGGUUUUUUUCCAAGAACUGUGCAUGGUGGCAUGUGUAUGCAACUAUGAAGCUUUGGGGAUCCUCUGGAGAUUGAUGCAGGCAGGAUAUUCCAGCUUGGAAGUCCUCAAGAGCAACAUAAAAGGCACAUAUUUGUGUCCUUCUGUUUAUUCUGGCCCUCAAUAAGAUGAAGCUAUGGGUCAUAUGCUUAAUAUUAAAUUGACUAACUGGGUCACUUGGUUUCUCUUUAAUUCUUUUAAUCUUCUUACAAGAUACAAACCAGGCUUAAGUUAAAACCUGUUCCUUACUGUAAAGGGCUGAGGGGGACAGUUGAUCACUUGGCUGUUAUGUAUGUGAUAAUGCCGGCUGUCUCCUCGAAAGGCUGCGUUCCUGCUGCUGCUUUCCCCAGCAGGUUUAUGCCUCCUUACUCAAUAAGAUUCCUGGGAAUCAAUUAUAGCAGUAGGAAGAUAUAGACUGUAGUUAAGCUUUCCAGCCCACACACAGUAACAGGAAAAUCCUGUUUGAAGAAUCGGGCAAGAGUGUAUUCUGUAUAACGAGAGACAAUGUGCCGAUAAUGCUGCAGUCUCCCCAGCUUCAACAUGGUUACUCAAGUUGUAACUGGCUACAGAGUCUGGCCCGCUAUGGGUCUUUAUAUUUUUUACAUUCUUUUAUACAAGAGGGCUUUCCAGGGUGGGAUAAGGAUUUCUUGGAAGCAUUUCUGCAGCUGAGCUAGCAACAAUUUUAUUUAAUGACCACACAUACAAGAGUCGCUGCAAAAUUAAUUGUUUUCUGACCCACACAUGGGUUUUCUUGUUCAGACUGAAAAUUAGAGAGGAGAAAGAUGUGUUGAUAGGGAGAUGCACAGCAGCGUGAGCCAUACAACAUGGGAGUGGGAAAAGAGAGGGUACCUGUUGUAGCCUCUACUCAAGGUUCUGCAAGUGCUAACGUUGCUGGCACACAGCUGUGUUAAAAAAGUAAGAGUUUAAACACUAUGCUGAGACCAGAAUUGCUCUUCUCAAGAGAAAUGCUGGAAGAGUUUUGUGACACACUACAAACAAGAAGAUUUUUCACCACAAUAGGAAGUUACCAUUGGUCUGGUAGUGUAAGCUGAAUCCCAAAAUUGGCACUUCCAGGCAAGUGAGAAGAGAUUUUUAGCCAAGAAUCACAAUGUUUCUUCCUAGAAUAGUGCAGGAGGAACACUAUCAAAUUAAAUUCAUGGAGCUUCCUUUCAAUCUUACCGAAGAACUGGAAAGAUCACCACCCAUCUUAUCUACUGACUGCAGGGAAAACUACUUUGCAUCUCACAGUCAAACCACGCAUUUUCUGGGGGAUAGUGAACUUUUGUUAAAGAAAAUAUGAAGCUUUGCUUUUAAUUAAAAAAACCCCAUACAAAUAUAUAUAUUUUUGAAAUCCCUUGCAAACCUUUGUCAACAUUUAAUUUUCUUUUUUUCCCACAGUAAGUAAUAAAGACGUUAGCAAUUGGCAACAUAAAUUUAUCUGAAAAAGGUCUUACCAAACCAGCAGAAAUCCUUGUAUAGGUAAGAAGCCACUUGGAGAUGGAAAAAGCAAAAAGCACUAAAGAUGACCACUUCAGUAGGGUUUUCAUCUCAUAUAACAGUCCCAUAAGCAAAGCAGCUGAAAUUUCUAGAGUUGGUGCAAAACCAUUUGUGUUAAGAGUUCCCUGAAAAUAUUCAUCAGUGAUUCACAAGCAGAACAGAGUGAUGCAUCUGCAAAGGUCUGAGUCAGGUCUGCUUCCCUAAACAUUUUAAGGAACAGAUCUUCCUUUUUUGGAGCUUGGGUUUCACACUGCCUUUUUUUCCUAAGUGGUUUUUACAGCGUUAGUGCAAAGAUCAGAAGCUUUUAUGCAGUCAUAUUAAAUACAAACACAAUUUAAAGAUGAUUUCACUACAUGGAACUUGCAAGGUUCUCGGGCAUUUGACUCGCUAAAGUCAUGUGAGAACUUGGCUCACUUAAGCACUGCUGUGGACUAUCCCAUCUAUCCCGUAACUGUUGACAUAUUCCACAUAUUCCUUGACAUCCAUCCCAUAUUCACUGAAAAUAGUGGUAAAAGUGGAUGUUAUUGAUGCUGAAGGAAAAGUUGAACUCCCAGAUUGGAACAGCAGAAGCACGGUUGAGAGGGAGAUGGAUUAAAUACUGACUGAUGGUUUGCAUAGACGGGACUAGUCAGAGCGAUGGGAGUUCACAACUCCUACAGAGGGAAUCCUCUUAAAUUUGUGUGUAGAAAAGGUAUUUUAGUAGUUAUACAGCUUAACAUCAAGUUUUAACAAGCAGUUCUAGCACCAUGCAUAAAAAGCCUAAAUGUUGCAAGGUUACCCAGUGAUAUCUCUGCCAAUGGCCACUGCUGCUACUGGUAGAGACAGCCAAGCAGAUCCCAAACACCAGAGGAUCUUUUCCAGAUUAAUUCCAUAGCGCUCCAUGACUGCGUGCUUUAUCAGUCAGGAAGCCAGCUGCCUCCUUGAUGGAUGUACUGCAGCAGGGAAAACUGGUCAAGUGAUUUUAGUUAAUCAGAGUCCCUCCCAUUAUCUUUCUGAAAAACAGCUAACAGAGCAGGUUGCUGGUGUUGCCUCUCUCCAAGACAAUGUAGGCUCCCAAGCAAAAUGUUUUGAAACUACCAUAUGCUGUAGUAAACAUGUGUGACUCUCAGACAUGAGUUCCAGCUAAUCAUGGCUGCUUUCCUUUGAGCCGCCAGUCUGCUCAUAGGGAAGUCACAGAGAACAAGCCAGCAUAAGUGUGAAUUAUUUAUGUUCCUGCUGUAAGCACAAGUCCUGCCACUAGAGACUUACUUGAUCGAGUGGAUCUGUAGAGACAGUUUCUGUAGCAACCCAGAACUUUGCCCACCAAAAUGUCAUCCAGUCACAAAUAACACAGAACAGGAAUAAACAUCUGCCUGCGUAGUUCGUAGUAUCAUAGUAUAGCAUAGUCAGGGUUGGAAGGGACCUUAAAGAUCAUCUAGUUCCAACCCCCCGGCCAUGGGCAGGGACAUCCCACAAGAUCAGGCUGCCCAAGGCCCCAUCCAACCUGGCCUUGACACCUCCAGGGAUGGGGCAGCCACGACGUUCCCGGGCAACCUGUUCCAGUGUCUCACCACUCUCACAGUGAAGAAAUUCUUCCUAAUGUCCGGUCUAAAUCUGCCCCUUUCCAGUUUAUACCCAUUCCCCCUGGUCCUAUCCCCACAAGCCUUUAUGAAUAACCCCUCUCCAGCUUCCCUGUAGGCCCCCUUCAGGUACUGGAAGGUCGCUAUAAGAUCUCCUCAGAGCCUUCUCCAGUCUCAACAGGCCCAACUCUCUCAGCCUGUCCUCGUAGGGAAGGUGUUCCAGUCCUCUGAUCAUCUUUGUAGCCCUGCUCUGGACCUGUUCAAACAGCUCCAUAUCCUUCUUAUGCUGAUGAUUCCAGAACUGGACACAGUAUUCCAGAUAAGGUCUCACAAGAGAGGCACAGAGGGGCAGAAUCACUUCCCUCAACCUGCUGGUCACACUUCUUUUGAUGCAGCCCAGGAUACAGUUGGCCUUCUGGGCUGCGAGUGCACAUUGCUGGCUCAUGUCGAGCUUCUCAUCAACCAGCAGCCCCAAGUCCUUCUCUGCAGGGCUGCUCUCAAUUACAUCAUCCCCCAUUGUGUACUGAAAUUGGGGAUUGCCCCAACCUAGGUGUAGGACCUUGCACUUGUCCUUGUUGAACCUCAUGAGGUUCUCAGAGGCCCACUUCUCCAGCCUGUCCAUGUCCCUCUGGAUAACAUCCGUCCUUCCGGUGUGGCAACUACACCAUUCAGCUUGGUGUCAUCCACAAACCUGCUGAGGGUGCACUCAAUCUCACUGUCAAUAUAAUUCAUAAAGAUAUUAAACAGCACUAGUCCCUGUACGGACCCCUGAGGGACAUCACUUGUCGCGGAUCUCCAUUUGGACAUUGAGCCAUUGACCACUACUCUCUGAAUACGACCAUCCAACUAGUUUCUUAUCCACCUUACCACCCACCCAUCAAAUCCAUAUCUCUCCAAUUUAGAGAGAAGGAUGUUGUGAGGGACCGUGUCAAAGGCUUUACAGAAUUUUAGAUAGAUCGCAUCUGUUCGUUUACCGUGUCCACUGCUGUGGUUACCCCAUCAUAGAAAGCCACCAAGUUAGUCAGACAGGACUUGCCCCUGGUGAAGCCAUGCUGGCUGCCAUUCAUCAUUUCCUGCCCUCCACGUGCUUUAGCAUAGCUUCCAGAAGGAUCUGUUCCAUGAUCUUCCCAGGCACAGAGGUGAGGCUGACAGGUCGGUAGUUCUCAGGGUCGUCUUUUCUGCCCCUUUUAAAAAUGGGUACAAUGUUACCCUUCUUCCAGUCACCAGGGGCUUCUCCUGACUGCCAUGACUUUUCAAAUAUCAUGGAGAGCAGCUUGGCAACCACAUCUGUCAAUUCCCUCAGGACUCUAGGAUGCAUCUCAUCAGGUCUCAUAGACUCAUAUAUGUUCAGGUUCCUCGGGUGUUCACGAACCUGAUCCUCCUCUACUAUGGGAGGGGGUCUACCCCCCUGGUCACCAUCUUGCUGUCCCAUGAC